UGGUUGAGUUUCCCUGCAUGCUGAAAUGGAGGGGGGCAGUGGCCUGUAAUGCACAUGCAAUCUGGAGAGUUACUACUCGUGACAGGGUUUGGGUGUUUUUUAUGGUUAUUGGUUGUCUAGUUUUGCCAAGAGGAUCUCAUAGUGCUUGCUUGUUUGGGCGAAUUGAGUCAGUGGUAGUCCCACUGGAGCAGCUUAAGUCCUCUGAUUUUACUGAUCAACAAGAAUACUAUGCCUGCAAAAUGAAAUAAAGGAGCUUUUCUGGAAGGUGAUGCUGCUGUUGCCGUUGCUGAGGAGGUGAAGAAGAACAACCAUGUAGUAAGAAAGUUGGAGAAGCGUCAAUAGAUUUGCACCCUUGACCAGCAUAUUGAAGAGCAAUUUGGUUGUGGUCGUCUAUUGGCUUGUAUCUCAUCACGACCUGGACAGUGGCUGUGCUGAUGGGAUGGGAAAACAUUGGACAAUGAGUUGGAGGUUGUUGAGGGAAUGAAGCUAGAUAGGGGCUACAUAUCCCCUUAUUUCAUCACCAACCAGAACAAUCAGAAAUGUGAAUUGGAAAAUCCUCUAAUCAUAAUCCAUGAGAAGAAAAUCUCAAGUAUUAAUGAUGUGGUUAAAGUAUUGGAGUUGGUUUUGCAGUUAUGAUUUCAGAUCUGUAGAUAACCUGUUGUUGCUGAUAUUGCUACACGGGAGGAGAACAGAACAAGUUGGAAAAUGUGCAAGAAGGGAGAGCUAACUCAUACAACGAAGAACAAAUUGAUGAAGUUAAGAUCAAAUUAGUAGAAUUUGUGAGCUCUCCAUUAUUUAUAAUUAUAGGUAGGAAGUAUGUAUGUAAUAGAGCAAAGAUUGGUUGACUAUGUAAUAACAAUUGAAUUGUCAAGUUUUAUGAAAGAAAUAAUUUUUGCUUCUU
This is a long non-coding RNA of Prunus dulcis (almond), 901 nucleotides long. RefSeq lists it as uncharacterized. The record is from RefSeq and is a predicted model, not a curated record. NCBI's taxonomy places the organism in Eukaryota, Viridiplantae, Streptophyta, Magnoliopsida, Rosales, Rosaceae. The transcript is spliced from 5 exons.